This is a long non-coding RNA of Corticium candelabrum, 1672 nucleotides long. RefSeq lists it as uncharacterized. Lineage: Eukaryota; Metazoa; Porifera; Homoscleromorpha; Homosclerophorida; Plakinidae. The record is from RefSeq and is a predicted model, not a curated record. The transcript is spliced from 3 exons.
UAUGAACAAGUCAAACUCUGUGUGGCAUUUUGUUUCCGGUCAUGUGAUCUAAACCACUGAAAUCAUGUGACCAAUCGCAUUUCUGCGCCUAGGCACUAGAAUUGGCGGUCUGACGUUCUGCUGUUUUGAUAUCAUCGUUAGUAUUUCGUUGUUGUUGACUUGUGUCUUGAUUGCUCUAUAUAGCGUCUCUAGUCUUUGUUGUUUUGUAGCUUACGUUGUUCUCGUAACUACAAAUGCAGGGUAUUUCAAUGAAUUUCAAGAUAGUAUAGUAGAAGUGAGUGGGCUUAGUUGGUAAACAGAGACUGGGUAGAGAGCCAUAGUGUUUGUAUGUCUGUUGAUAUUCUGGCAUAUAGUGUCUAAGUAUCUAGAGGGAUGUAAACGGAAGCGCACAUCUACAGCUUUGUUCUGUCAUCCUUUCUUGCCAUUUGUACAUGUAGUGACAGGUUUCUAUCUAUAGAGCAGUCACCAAGGUCACGUACUGGCAGCUGCAUGCAGCUCAUCGGAUGUUGAUGUUGUAAUUAAAGACCAUCAAAGCCACUGAUAUCAAAGAAUGUAAAUUUUAGUCAGUCACACGAACAUCCAAGUAGGUACUCAUGAAAUGUAUAGUCAAAAGCAUGAGCAUGCUGGCUAUUUACUGAAUAAGUUGUGUUUGCACAUUAAUCACUUUAUCAGUGGUGUUGUUACGGGGACAUCAGAGCCAAGUUUGACCUUGCCUUCAGACACGGAUCCUUUGACUUCAGAAGGCUCCUAAAAAUUUAAUGUGUCCCUGUGCCUGAGUCCAGUCUCUGUCAAUGUCAUGUCAGAGUCUGGACUCUGGGUCUUGCCAGUACGAGAAUUGUGGUAUCAAUGAUCUGUUUAUACGACGCUUCACGGAAGAUGACAGCUGAGGGUACCAUAGCAGCACGUGUAUACAGUAUGCCAGUUGUGACCGAAGCUGACCCUAGUGCGCAGCAAUUGUCUGGGUGUUCAAGGACUUUGGCUCCAAGUACACUGUACUGGGCAGCAACACCCAAAUUUGGCUCCAAACUUGACAACCACCUGCAACCCUGUUUACUUGUAGCAGUGACUAGACAAGACUCUAUAGUCAGUCAAAAAUUUUGAAUCUGGACCAUAAAUUGAAGAGCCAUGCCAAACUUGAUCAAUUAACUUGACGGCUUUUUCAAAGGCUUGUCUGAUGUCAUUGCUGUUGGUGUUCUUCAUGAGGUCUGUCAAUCCAUUAGCUCCUCAGAAACAACCAACAUUUGGUGACACGUGGGAGUUCUCGAUGAAGACUUGAAGGCAAUAACCAAAACUGAUAUUCCAUCUGAAACGGUUCGUAGCAUAAUCAGCCUCUGGAUUAACAAACAACUAAUGCCAAUUAAGAGGCAACACUGUUCAAGCUGUUAUAUGUGAUGCAGAGAAUUGGCCUGUUGGGAGAGAGAUCUCAAAGCAACAUUUGCAUGGAUAAACAAAGAUUUACGUGAUGUUAUUAUCAAAUUGCUUUAUAAACUUGUGGUAAGGACUAAACAUUGGUGUUUGUAUUAGUAAUAACUUUUAACUUUUAUGAUGGUGUAGUAGUAUAGCAGUAGACACAAUUGCAUUCUGGGUAUCAAUAGGAAUUUUGGUACUCAUAAUGGAGUUGGCUUGAGCCAUAUAUACUGAUUAGUCAGGGUGGUGGCAAAUACUCCGAAAC